GCAAUAUGGAUGAUGCCUAGAAAUGGCACGUAUGGUGGAUGGCCAAGAUCUGGGGAAAUGGAUAUGAUGGAAGCAUCUUGUAAUGAAGUAAUGUAUUUUGACGAUGGCACUAAGGUUGGAAUACAAAGAGUAACAUCAACAAUUCAUUUUGGACCAGACGCUAUAGAAGACCAUCCACUUCAUGGUGAUAAAAUCAAAUCCCAGGGUGAUUGGCACAGUUUCCACAUUUACACGCUUGAUUGGUCACCUGACCAUGUCAUUCUGAGUGUUGAUGGAGAAGUUGUUAGUAGAAUGGACAUUCCAGAUGGAACAUCAGUUUGGGAAAAAUACAACUUUAACGGCACCAACCCGUGGACUAGAGGCGCUAAGAUAGCUCCUUUCGAUCAGGAGUUUUACAUGAUCUUGAAUGUUGCUGUAGGAGGAAUAAGAGGCAUGUUUGGUGAAGGUUAUGUCCACUAUGCUUACCCAAAACCAUGGAGCCAAUACGACAUCGAUCCAUUAAAACCUUUUUGGGAACAUCGUAAAGAAUGGAUGCCAUCUUGGCGUGGAGACGACGUAGCUAUGAUUAUAGAUUAUGUUGAAUUUAGACUUAUGUAAUUUAUAUAUGUAUCAAGCUGUU
Long non-coding RNA from Patella vulgata (common limpet), 619 nucleotides. RefSeq lists it as uncharacterized. The transcript has 5 exons. The record is from RefSeq and is a predicted model, not a curated record. NCBI's taxonomy places the organism in Eukaryota, Metazoa, Mollusca, Gastropoda, Patellidae.